Molecule: unclassified non-coding RNA, 1093 nt
Filed under: leaf metagenome
Description: partial contains internal transcribed spacer 1, 5.8S ribosomal RNA, internal transcribed spacer 2, and large subunit ribosomal RNA
Rfam family: Eukaryotic large subunit ribosomal RNA (bases 515-1093)
Source: RNAcentral
GGAUCAUUACAAGAGAGUAGAAAUACUCGUAACCCUUUGCGAACAUACCUUUUUGUCAGUUGCUUCGGCGGGAGGCCCCUGGGAGGGGCCCCGGGGCCCGGCCGCGCCGGGCUCCCGCCGGAGGGACGCCCCCAAAACUCUUGCUGUACCACAGUGGCACGUCCGAGUCCAACAAACAAACAAAUCAAAACUUUCAACAACGGAUCUCUUGGUUCUGGCAUCGAUGAAGAACGCAGCGAAAUGCGAUAAGUAAUGUGAAUUGCAGAAUUCAGUGAAUCAUCGAAUCUUUGAACGCACAUUGCGCCCGCCAGCAUUCUGGCGGGCAUGCCUGUUCGAGCGUCAUUUCAACCCCUCGGGCCCUGGUGCCCGGCGUCGGGGCGUUCCCUCGCGGGAAGCCCUCAGAAACAGUGGCGGACCCGCCGCGGCUCCGAGCGCAGUAGUAACAUUCUCGCUUAGGAGGUCCGCGGGGGGGCUCCCGGCCGUAAAACCCGGCCUUCGGGCCAUCUCACAAGGUUGACCUCGGAUCAGGUAGGAAUACCCGCUGAACUUAAGCAUAUCAAUAAGCGGAGGAAAAGAAACCAACAGGGAUUGCCCCAGUAACGGCGAGUGAAGCGGCAACAGCUCAGAUUUGAAAUCUGGUCCCCAGGGCCCGAGUUGUAAUCUGUAGAGGAUGCUUUUGGCAAGGCGCCGUCCGAGUUCCCUGGAACGGGACGCCGGAGAGGGUGAGAGCCCCGUACAGGCGGACGCCGAGCCUCUGUAAAGCUCCUUCGACGAGUCGAGUAGUUUGGGAAUGCUGCUCAAAGCGGGAGGUAAAUUUCUUCUAAAGCUAAAUACCGGCCAGAGACCGAUAGCGCACAAGUAGAGUGAUCGAAAGAUGAAAAGCACUUUGAAAAGAGAGUUAAAAAGCACGUGAAAUUGUUGAAAGGGAAGCGCCUGUGACCAGACUCGCGCCCGGCGGAUCAUCCGGCGUUCUCGCCGGUGCACUCCGCCGGGCUCGGGCCAGCAUCGGUUCUCGCGGGGGGAUAAAAGCGGCGGGGAUGUGGCUCCCCCGGGAGUGUUAUAGCCCGCCGCCCAAUGCCCCCGCGGGGACCGA